This 492-nucleotide ribosomal RNA is filed under the name uncultured bacterium. RNAcentral describes it as "partial 16S ribosomal RNA". It matches the Rfam family "Bacterial small subunit ribosomal RNA", at positions 29 to 507 of the family's 1533-position model. The record is from RNAcentral.
AGUGAACGCUGGCGGUAGGCCUAACACAUGCCAGUCGAACGGCAGCACAGUAAGAGCUUGCUCUUACGGGUGGCGAGUGGCGGACGGGUGAGGAAUACAUCGGAAUCUACUUUUUCGUGGGGGAUAACGUAGGGAAACUUACGCUAAUACCGCAUACGACCUACGGGUGAAAGCAGGGGAUCUUCGGACCUUGCGCGAUUGAAUGAGCCGAUGUCGGAUUAGCUAGUUGGCGGGGUAAAGGCCCACCAAGGCGACGAUCCGUAGCUGGUCUGAGAGGAUGAACAGCCACACUGGAACUGAGGCGCGGUCCAGACUCCUACGGGAGGCAGGAGGGGGGAAUAUUGGACAAUGGGCGCAAGCCUGAACCAGCCAUACCGCGUUGGUGAAGGAGGCCUUCGGGUUGUAAAGCCCUUUUGUUGGGAAAGAAAAGCAGCAGGUUAAUACCCCGCUGUUCUGACGGUACCCAAAGAAUAAGCACCGGCUAACUUCGUG